AGGGAUUUAGGCUAAUUUCUUAAACCAAGAACCUUCAAAGCUCUAAAUAAAAGUGAAAAUCUUUUAAUCCCUA
RNAcentral lists this transfer RNA (73 nucleotides) under Plesiolebias aruana. Its description in RNAcentral is "tRNA-Trp". It matches the Rfam family "tRNA". Rfam says of the family: Transfer RNA (tRNA) molecules are approximately 80 nucleotides in length. Their secondary structure includes four short double-helical elements and three loops (D, anti-codon, and T loops). Lineage: Eukaryota; Metazoa; Chordata; Actinopteri; Cyprinodontiformes; Rivulidae. The record is from RNAcentral.